RNAcentral lists this long non-coding RNA (369 nucleotides) under Salmo salar (Atlantic salmon). RNAcentral describes it as "lncRNA (ENSSSAG00000097246.1)". The record is from RNAcentral. Lineage: Eukaryota; Metazoa; Chordata; Actinopteri; Salmoniformes; Salmonidae.
AGUUGCACCCCUUCUGAAAAAACCUACACUCGAUCCCUCCGAUGUCAACAACUACAGACCAACCUAUCUGCUGCCUUUGAUACUGUGAACCAUCAGAUCCUCCUCUCCACCCUCUCCGAGUUGGGCAUCUCCGGCGCGGCCCACGCUUGGAUUGCGUCCUACCUGACAGGUCGCUCCUACCAGGCGGCGAAUCGCAUCUCUGCAUGUCUGUCAGACAUAUCAGUGUGGAUGACGGAUCACCAGCUCAAGCUGAACCUCGGCAAGACGGAGCUGCUCUUCCUCCCGGGGAAGGACUGCCCGUUCCAUGAUCUCGCCAUCACGGUUGACAACUCCCUUGUGUCCUCCUCCCAGAGUGCUAAGAACCUUGGC